UUGUUGAACCUUCUGGGAGUAGAGCCGGGGCCGCAGGAGGAGGAAGAAGCUGGCUUAGCGGAGACCUCUGCAUGAGGUUUGGUUGGCAGCGGCCACGAAUUCAUUCACAGGGCAGCUACUACGGUGAUGAAAGAGGGACAGCAUCUGGUGGGAGAGAAAGGCCGAAGGGCUGGCUGGAGGGCUGGCGGAAGAACUGCAGCAAGGACUCCUCCCUGUGUGUCAGAAUGCAGACAUGGACAGUGGGGGCUGGAGGAGAUACCCCAGCCUGUGAGAGGGAAGCCACGUGUUGAGGAUGGCAAAGCAACAGGAUAGAGGGAAACUGGAUGGCCAGCACCACGGAGCAGCCAGAGCAGCCCUGGACCGUUAAACUGACACUCAGGCCGAAUGGACUAAACGCAUCAUCGGGAUGUUCCAGGUGAUGGAGACGGAUUUGCAUGUUGAGGUGAUCACUCUGGCUACAGCGUGUGGAAGGUAAAAGCAGUGAGAACAGCCAGAAGCCAUCACAGCCCCCCAAAGAGAGGAGGAUGCCUUGUACCUACAGAGGAGCUAUCAGGGUGGGGCCUGGCCCGCUGGAACACCUUGUGCCUGGUAUAGUGGAAAGAACAUGAACUCUAGUCUCAGGGAGAGCUAAGCUAUACUCCAAGAUGGACUAUUCUGUAGCCAUGACCUUGGGCAAGUUACUUAGCAUCUCAUCUGUAAGUUCAAAUUAAGAUUCUUUCUGUGAGGAGUAUGGCAAAUUAAAGGCAGCCUUCAGACUUGGACUGCAGUAUCAGCUCUUCCCCGGGUCUCCAGCCUGCUCUUCCUCCCCGGAGAUUCUGGACUUGCCAGGCUUCAUAAUCGCAUAAGCCGAUUCUUUAAGAUAGAUCUCUCUCUCUCUUUCUCUCC
This is a long non-coding RNA of Phyllostomus hastatus (greater spear-nosed bat), 885 nucleotides long. RefSeq lists it as uncharacterized. Lineage: Eukaryota; Metazoa; Chordata; Mammalia; Chiroptera; Phyllostomidae. The record is from RefSeq and is a predicted model, not a curated record. The transcript is spliced from 4 exons.